GGGGGAGCAAGCGUUGUUCGGAUUUACUGGGCGUAAAGGGCGCGUAGGCGGCCUCUGCAAGUCGACUGUGAAAUCUCCGGGCUUAACCCGGAACGGUCAGCCGAUACUGCAGGGCUAGAGUGCAGAAGGGGCAACUGGAAUUCUCGGUGUAGCGGUGAAAUGCGUAGAUAUCGAGAGGAACACCUGCGGCGAAGGCGGGUUGCUGGGCUGACACUGACGCUGAUGCGCGAAAGCUAGGGGAGCGAACGGGAUUAGAUACCCCGGUAGUCCUAGCCUUAAACGAUGAAUGCUUGGUGUCUGGGGUUUUAUAGUCCCCGGGUGCCGUCGCUAACGCUUUAAGCAUUCCGCCUGGGGAGUACGGUCGCAAGACUG
RNAcentral lists this ribosomal RNA (372 nucleotides) under uncultured organism. Its description in RNAcentral is "bacterial SSU rRNA". It matches the Rfam family "Bacterial small subunit ribosomal RNA", at positions 528 to 896 of the family's 1533-position model. The record is from RNAcentral.